This is a long non-coding RNA of Scleropages formosus (Asian bonytongue), 935 nucleotides long. Lineage: Eukaryota; Metazoa; Chordata; Actinopteri; Osteoglossiformes; Osteoglossidae. The record is from Ensembl.
AUGUGCGGCCACACGGCGGCGCUCUCCAGGUCACACGUUCGCUUCACGGAGCGCCACGGCCCAGCCGACCCCUCGCGUGUGAGCAUGAGCACCUGCCGCUCCCCCAGCAAGCCCCCCUGGGACAGGAGGACAACGCACUCAGUCCCGCUACAGAAUGGAAAGGGAGGCCUUGCUGGUGAUGAGCACCAGGGGCGGAGCCUCCACAAAGUGCACUCCAAGGACCACGCCCACUGUCAGGGGGAGGAGUUACCACAGGGGACACGGUGCCACCGGGCCUGCCCCCCAAAAGCCACGCAGCUGGAAAAGAAGGAAACGAAGGCGCCCAGCAUCCGAAGGGGGCGCCGACACGGCCACUCAGCCGGAGGCGAGGUAGACUGCGCCAAGGAGGCAGGGGUCGCGCUCGCUCUGGCGAGCAGUGGAGCGGGUGACCGGGAAAGGACCGCGGGAGCUCCUGAAGAAAACCGCCCGAGCACACCCCCCUGCCCGACACCAUUCCCCUUCAGGGAGCUGCAGGACCGCGGCACGCGGCAGCACGGCAGCUCCUUCUUGGGCGAGCGUACGAGGACCGCAAGGGCCGACAGCAACCUGCUUGGUGUCAAUCGUUUGGAGGCGCUGCCUUCGCCAUGCCUCUGCAGGAGGAAACGGAACGCGGGCAGAACGCCGGUGUCCGCCGGCAGCUCGGAGGAAGAGGAGGAGGUGUUCCGCAGCAGUGAGGAAGGAGACCCGGAGACGGUCGGGGAGAGAGGUGAGUCCCGCUCCAGCGAGAGGGGGCGCUGCCGGACCGACGGGGGGAGGGAGGCUGUCGGAGGGGCUCUGGCUGAUGUUCCGUCUCCCCUCUCCAGGCUCCUGGAGGAAGUGUCACCUGGACACUGCUGCGUGGCCGGUGAGUUGGACCGUGUACCACCAGGCACUGGAGGGACCGAGCAAGCUGGUGC